This is a long non-coding RNA of Mauremys mutica (yellowpond turtle), 528 nucleotides long. RefSeq lists it as uncharacterized. The transcript has 5 exons. Lineage: Eukaryota; Metazoa; Chordata; Testudines; Geoemydidae. The record is from RefSeq and is a predicted model, not a curated record.
ACAAACUGAAAUGGGGGAAGAGAGAGAGAUUAUUCGGCAGUAGUAGAUUUAUACUCACCAUGCUCGUAAAUGCCAUCUGCAGUCAGAUCUUUAUUCCGUCUUGAAAACAACUCUAUGAACUUGAGAGGGAAUAAGAAACAGCACAUGUAAUCCGUUGACCUUUGAUGUCUCAGAAGAAUUGCAAGUGGUCCAAGACGCUGAGAUAUGUUUGCUGAAGUCAGGAGAACUGAUGUACUUAUUCCUAUGACCCGAUGCAACUCUCAUAAGGAAACUAUCAGAAGGCAGAUGAAAGUACUACAUGUAAAUUGCCAUUGGAAGAUGUGAAAGAAAGAUUCAAGCUCCUUUUGUUUGCAGGAAGAGAGAGGUCAGACCAUCACAACAGAGCUCCGUACUGCUGAAAAUAUGACUAAAUUUAAAAGAUUCUAAUCAAGAUAGAACUGAGAUUAAAGUCCAGCCAUCUGAAGCUGCUUUUGCCCAGAAAGGGAGAGUGAAAACAAGGAGCAGAUCAGCAAUGGCCAGGUGCAGCAG